Molecule: ribosomal RNA, 951 nt
Filed under: uncultured archaeon
Lineage: Archaea
Description: bacterial SSU rRNA
Rfam family: Archaeal small subunit ribosomal RNA
Source: RNAcentral
AUUUUCCGGUUGAUCCUGCCGGACCCUACAGCUAUCGGGAUGGGACUAAGACAUGCUAGUCGAGCGCUUCCUAGCCACGCUGGAAGCGCGGCACACAGCUCAGUAACACGUGGCUAACCUACCCUUGGGACAGAAACACCCCCGGGAAACUGGGGCUAAUUUCCGAUAGGUGAAGACACCUGGAAUGGAUCUUCGCCGAAAAGGCGCCCAGAGCACGCUUCUAGACGCUGCCCAAGGAUGGGGCCGCGGCCGAUCAGGUUGUUGGUGAGGUAACGGCUCACCAAGCCUUUAACCGGUACGGGCCGUGGGAGCGGUAGCCCGGAGAUGGGCACUGAGACAAGGGCCCAGGUCCUACGGGGCGCAGCAGUCGCGAAAACUUCGCAAUAAGCGAAAGCUUGACGGGGCCAUCCCGAGUGCCAUCUGCUGAGGAUGGCUUUUACCCAGUAUAGAUAGCUGGGAGAAUAAGGAGAGGGCAAGUCUGGUGUCAGCCGCCGCGGUAAUACCAGCUCUCCGAGUUGUAGGGAUGUUUAUUGGGCCUGAAGCAUCCGUAGCCGGCUGGACAAGUCCCCUGUUAAACCCAGCGACCAAUCGUUGGCCUGCGGGGGAUACUGUCCGGCUAGGGGGCGGGAGAGGCCGUCGGUAUUCUUGGGGUAGGGGGUGAAAUCCUAUAAUCCCAGGAGGACCACCAGUGGCGAAGGCUGUCGGCUAGAACGCGCCCGACGGUGAGGGAUGAAAGCUGGGGGAGCGAACCGGAUUAGAUACCCGGGUAGUCCCAGCUGUAAACGAUGCAGGCUAGGUGUUAGGGCGGCUACGUGCCGCUCUAGUGCCGCAGGGAAGCUGUUAAGCCUGCCGCCUGGGGAGUACGGCCGCAAGGCUGAAACUUAAAGGAAUUGGCGGGGGAGCACCACAAGGGGUGAAGCUUGCGGUUUAAUUGGAUUCAACGCCGGAAAU